CAAAAACAUAGCCUACUAUUUAACUUAGGUACAACCCUGCCCUCUGACUUUUAACAGCCGCGGUAUCCUAACCGUGCUAAGGUAGCAUAAUCACUUGCCUAUUAAUUAUAGGCUAGAAUGAACGGGAUCACUCACUUAAACUUAUUUUUAUUUAAAUUUAAAUUAAACUUUAAGUCAAAAUACUAAAUUAAAAAGAAAGACAAAAAGACCCUGAAAACUAUUAGAAAUAAUUAGUUGGGGCAACUAUAGACCACUCUAGCGUCUAUUUUUUUUUUAAACUCUUAAAAUCUAAAGUAUCCAGUUACUUCAGGGAUAACAGACUAAUUUUAUUAUUUAGACCCAAUAAAUAAUAAAGAUUGGCACCUCGAUGUUGGCUUAUAUUUCCUUCAUAUAGCAACAUAUAUAGAAGGCAGCUUGUUCAUCUGUUAAAUAUUUACAUGAGCUGAGUUCAGACCGGCGUAAGC
RNAcentral lists this ribosomal RNA (464 nucleotides) under Stygocapitella sp. 219_03. RNAcentral describes it as "partial large subunit ribosomal RNA". It matches the Rfam family "Bacterial large subunit ribosomal RNA", at positions 1808 to 2626 of the family's 2925-position model. The record is from RNAcentral. Lineage: Eukaryota; Metazoa; Annelida; Polychaeta; Parergodrilidae.